UACAGAGGUCUCGAGCGUUAUUCGGAAUCACUGGGCUUAAAGCGUCUGUAGGUGGCUUUUCAAGUCCGCCGUCAAAUCCCAGGGCUCAACCCUGGACAGGCGGUGGAAACUGCCAAGCUGGAGUACGGUAGGGGCAGAGGGAAUUUCCGGUGGAGCGGUGAAAUGCGUAGAGAUCGGAAAGAACACCAACGGCGAAAGCACUCUGCUGGGCCGACACUGACACUGAGAGACGAAAGCUAGGGGAGCGAAUGGG
RNAcentral lists this ribosomal RNA (253 nucleotides) under uncultured bacterium. Its description in RNAcentral is "partial 16S ribosomal RNA". It matches the Rfam family "Bacterial small subunit ribosomal RNA", at positions 524 to 776 of the family's 1533-position model. The record is from RNAcentral.